UCGUGCUAGACGGGGAACUGGCGGUGCCUUGUACCCGCAAUCCGCCAUAGCGGGGUCGAAUUCCCCCCCGAGGGUCAGCUCAUCCGAUUCUGCCAGAGUCAAACGGUGUUGAAGAACGGGUCCUGCGCGGCAGCAGCCUCCGAACCCCGCCAGGUCCGGAAGGAAGCAACGGUAAGGAGUCACUGCUGGGCGUCGCGGGGGUGCCUGGUCGGAGCCGGGUGGCUCGGGUAAGGCGGGUGGUGUGAUUCGACGGGGGGUGCACGA
This 264-nucleotide signal recognition particle RNA is filed under the name Anaerolineae bacterium. RNAcentral describes it as "signal recognition particle sRNA large type". It matches the Rfam family "Bacterial large signal recognition particle RNA". From Rfam's summary of the family: The signal recognition particle (SRP) is a universally conserved ribonucleoprotein involved in the co-translational targeting of proteins to membranes. Archaeal SRP consists of a 7S RNA and homologues of the eukaryotic SRP19 and SRP54 proteins. In most bacteria, the SRP consists of a 4.5S RNA and the Ffh protein (a homologue of the eukaryotic SRP54 protein). Lineage: Bacteria; Bacillati; Chloroflexota; Anaerolineae. The record is from RNAcentral.